UACGUAGGGGGCAAGCGUUGUCCGGAAUUAUUGGGCGUAAAGAGCUCGUAGGCGGCUUGUUGCGUCGGCUGUGAAAUCCCGAGGCUCAACCUCGGGUCUGCAGUCGAUACGAGCAAACUAGAGUGUUGCAGGGGAGACUGGAAUUCCUGGUGUAGCGGUGAAAUGCGCAGAUAUCAGGAGGAACACCGGUGGCGAAGGCGGGUCUCUGGGCAACAACUGACGCUGAGGUGCGAAAGCGUGGGGAGCGAACAGG
This 253-nucleotide ribosomal RNA is filed under the name uncultured bacterium. RNAcentral describes it as "partial 16S ribosomal RNA". It matches the Rfam family "Bacterial small subunit ribosomal RNA", at positions 524 to 776 of the family's 1533-position model. The record is from RNAcentral.